This 253-nucleotide ribosomal RNA is filed under the name uncultured bacterium. RNAcentral describes it as "partial 16S ribosomal RNA". It matches the Rfam family "Bacterial small subunit ribosomal RNA", at positions 524 to 776 of the family's 1533-position model. The record is from RNAcentral.
UACGUAGGGUGCAGGCGUUGUCCGGAAUUAUUGGGCGUAAAGAGCUCGUAGGCGGCCUGUCGCGUCGGCUGUGAAAACUCAGGGCUCAACCCUGAGCCUGCAGUCGAUACGGGCAGGCUAGAGUCCGGCAGGGGAGACUGGAAUUCCUGGUGUAGCGGUGAAAUGCGCAGAUAUCAGGAGGAACACCGGUGGCGAAGGCGGGUCUCUGGGCCGGAACUGACGCUGAGGAGCGAAAGCGUGGGGAGCGAACAGG